UGAUCUACUAGCUCAGUCGGUAGAGCACUUGACUUUUAAUCAAGGUGUCCGGGGUUCGAUUCCCCGGUAGUGAU
RNAcentral lists this transfer RNA (74 nucleotides) under Clostridium sp. Its description in RNAcentral is "tRNA-Lys". The stretch from base 5 to 70 matches the Rfam family "tRNA". Rfam says of the family: Transfer RNA (tRNA) molecules are approximately 80 nucleotides in length. Their secondary structure includes four short double-helical elements and three loops (D, anti-codon, and T loops). Further hydrogen bonds mediate the characteristic L-shaped molecular structure. tRNAs have two regions of fundamental functional importance: the anti-codon, which is responsible for specific mRNA codon recognition, and the 3' end, to which the tRNAs corresponding amino acid is attached (by aminoacyl-tRNA synthetases). tRNAs cope with the degeneracy of the genetic code in two manners: having more than one tRNA (with a specific anti-codon) for a particular amino acid; and 'wobble' base-pairing, i.e. permitting non-standard base-pairing at the 3rd anti-codon position. The record is from RNAcentral. Lineage: Bacteria; Bacillati; Bacillota; Clostridia; Eubacteriales; Clostridiaceae.